ACACCCAGCAAUCUCCCAACCAUAAGACUGCAGCAGCCGAGUGCGCGACCCAAGGCGUCGCCGCCAGUAGACCGGCGCCCCACAGUUGACACCCUCCUUCGAGUUCACGCAUCCCAGCCGCCGACUCCCAUUGCAAUCGGGUGUGGGUAUGAGUUAUGGUUAGGGGUAAAUUAGCUUAAGAAUUACGUGGGUUGGGUUAUUGAUUAUUAGUGGGUUUGGGUUAAUUGGUUUAAUAAUUAAGUGGGUUGGUUUAUUAGUUAACAAUUAGGCUUGGGCUAAAUUUCAAUUGGGCUGAUUUAUUUGUACCAAUUAGGUUGGGCUUAAUUUCAAUUGGGAUUGGGCUUGAUUGAUAUUUUGAUUGUAAUUUAGGCCCAAAUUUGUGAAAUGGGCUCAUUUAUUAUUUUGUUAUUCUGAUUUUGUGUUAUNNNNNNNNNNNNNNNNNNNNNNNNNNNNNNNNNNNNNNNNNNNNNNNNNNNNNNNNNNNNNNNNNNNNNNNNNNNNNNNNNNNNNNNNNNNCUAGUCAAUGAUUUUUGCAACUUUCUAGUUAAUUGUCUCCCUAUAAUUCCACAUUUUUCUUCAAAUGAACCAGUUUGGACUUGUCACAAUAAGGUAUAAGCACAAAAAACUGUUUGCGAAAACGAAAGAAAUAAUACCAACUCAAAUCUUGGGCCAACAAGCAAAUGGAUUCAGCACACUGCAUUUUACAUAUUUCAUUUGUGGUGAAAUAAGUUAGGAUGUCCAAGAGUCAAAGUUAAUGAAGUCAUGGUCACAUGAACUUCACCAAUCAGUUCUCUGAAACACCCACAGUAAUUCGCUACAAAUAGUCAAGAUAGCUUUGUAGAUUUGAAUUUUAGCAUCGUGAUACAUCCUUGUCAUGUACACAUAUGGCACUAAGCCAGUUGCAUGAUACUCAGAGCCAUAUCCCAUAUGUAUUGAAGCUAAACCUUAUUAAGAUUUUUUUUUUCUUUUUUUUUUUUUUUUUUUUUUUUUUUUUUUUAAAAAAGAACAUUUUUGAAGCUAAACCCUAUUAAGAUUUUUUUUUUAUAAAGAAGAGCAUUGCCACGAGUUCUUGAGGGGGAGUUUACAUUGGUGUUCUGUCAACAUAUGCAUCAUAACUCUUUAAUUUUCAUUUUCAGUUUGAUACAUAUUUCAAUAGUAGACAAAGUAGCACAAAAUCCACUGGCAACAAAAUCUAGCCAUUAUUUACCAAUUAAGACAAUUUCAAAAUUUCAUGUACCAAUACAAAUUCGUUUACUCUAGAAAAAUUUCAUUAAAAUGAUGAAUCUUUCUUUCUUCAUACAAACAUUAUGUGCAAAUCUUCAUAGACUACUUAUAUUCAUCACAAAAGGACUCUAUUUGAUUAACUCCUCAACAAUUUAAAUUAGUAGGACAAAUUGCCUGCAUUUGAUAAUUAGACAGAAUUUUCGUUCCAAUUCAAUGCACUUGAAUCUUACAAUUCAUUUCAAUUUACAAAUACCUAGGAAUUAUGUUAGUAAACUUUAUUUAAAACUAUCUCAAAUUGAACAAAUUUUCACCUUUUUCAAUAUAAGAAAAGGGUAAUUAUAUUACCACUACAAAAUUUAAUAACUACACCACAUUAUAAUCACACCACAAAUAAAAUAGAUUUUUAAUAAAUACACCGUAAAUGAACUGAAAUUUCAAUUGAAUUCGAACCCUAGUUUUACCAAUAACCCAAUUUAAACUUCACAUUAUUUCCCAGUAAAUUGAUAGCAAAAAAAAAAAAAACCAAUAAACGACCUAAAAGCUAUCCAUGUGCUAACUUCGACCGUCAGGUUAGUGGGUUCACGGUUGAUGGCUGAUUGAGGGGGGUAAUUUGGGGGAGAAGGCGGUAUGGUGGACAGAGCAGGAAGAAAUCGAAGCAAGGAAAAGGAAGCAUCUGCAGAUGGGGGCUGAGGCACCAGGCGAAGUCGUUCGUGGAGAGAAUGCAGAUGGUGGCUGUGAAUUGAGAGUGAUGGAGAACCACUGUGUUGUUGUUGAUGGGGAAAAUGAAACGGUACAUAGAGAAGCAAGAGGCGAUGGGGAAAAGGAAACGGGAGAG
This 2059-nucleotide long non-coding RNA is filed under the name Olea europaea (common olive). Its description in RNAcentral is "long non-coding RNA (OEUR_LNC012241)". The record is from RNAcentral. Lineage: Eukaryota; Viridiplantae; Streptophyta; Magnoliopsida; Lamiales; Oleaceae.